AAUCUUGCUUUGAGAAAGUACUUCUAGGUCAUUUAUUUAACUCAAUCCUACCGAAGUCGUGACUAUUCAAGACUUUAAAGUAUCCUUCGCGCUGAAUUUUAAGAAUUCAAACUUAACCAAAUUAAUGAAUGUUAAAUACUACUAUUGUCAAGUACCUGCGCAUGGACAUUUUGUAGAAUAAAGAUGUGUGAACGUAAAAGGUGAUGUCGAUGCCAACACAGUAUCGCGCUUCUGUAAAAAAUAUUUUCCUUACACACGAAAGGAGCCAAUAAAGAUACUCAUUGGGAAAAACUGAAAUUUGUCACUAAUCUUUACGACCAGCUACAUUUGCGCAGACUGUCAGAAGUUCCGUGGUUCUGACACGGCAGAACAGUUAAAUAACAGUCCAGUAUUAACUUUCCUAAACCAGAGACAUUUCUAUAGAGAUUUUUGCCUAAACAUCCGACUCUUUCAUAUGAACAGUUUCUAAUGAUAUUGCUAGCCUAAAAUAUUUUCAUGAAGACUACCGCAACAGCAGUUUAUUCGAAGGGUUCAAUUAAUAAGCACACGCUUGGUAGUAAUUAAAUAAAAAUAGAAAGAUCAAAAGUAGCACGAUGUCUGUAUAUUUUGCGCCGUUUCCUUUGUUAAACGGGUGUUUAUUGAUUGGAUGAUUUUCUCGCAGAUAGGAGACUAAUUAAAAAAAAAAGUAUAAAAAGGUAGUUUGGGUCUUUGAGCUUCAUUCUGAAUCCUGAAGUCUUCUGACUGGUACAGAAAAUUAGUGAAAACUGAAACAUGAAGGUUUGUGUUAUUCUGGUUGUCGUCGGCAUAGCCAUGGCGAGUGCGGAAUACGAUCGCAGGGAGGCCUCUCCAGGUUGGGUCCGGGACGCCGAAGAACGCAGAGAAGCCUCUCCAGGUUGGUACCAUGUCGCCAAGGAACGCAGAGAAGCCUCUCCAGCUUGGUUACCGGACGCCAAGGAACGCAGAGAAGCCUCUCCAGGUUGGGGACCAUAGGCCUCCGAAAGGCACAGGCUUGUUGGUGUUGUCAAAUGCGACAGUUAGCCUGCAUGCAAAGUAUUUCACUUCACGAGAAGGCUUUUUUCUAGAUUUAAAAAAAAAAUCAGUCGUAAAGUUGCUAAAUGUAGACAAUCCCCUUCUCAUCUCGACUCGAAAAGUAACAAUGUCAUUGAAAAAUUCAGUAAACAAAUCAAUAAAAGUGAGAGACAUGUA
RNAcentral lists this unclassified non-coding RNA (1206 nucleotides) under Pomacea canaliculata. Its description in RNAcentral is "dNA-directed RNA polymerase II subunit 1-like, transcript variant X9". Lineage: Eukaryota; Metazoa; Mollusca; Gastropoda; Architaenioglossa; Ampullariidae. The record is from RNAcentral.